Sardina pilchardus (European sardine) is the source of this 1277-nucleotide long non-coding RNA. RefSeq lists it as uncharacterized. The record is from RefSeq and is a predicted model, not a curated record. NCBI's taxonomy places the organism in Eukaryota, Metazoa, Chordata, Actinopteri, Clupeiformes, Clupeidae. The transcript is spliced from 2 exons.
UCAAACAAUACUUUUUCUAAUUCAAACAAAAAUCAAUUAAUCAAAAUACCAAAUACAAAAUCUAAACAAAAAAAAUAAAGUCGAAAAAAAAAAAUCUAAACUCGCAAAAAAAAUCUAAACUCGCAAACAAAUUAUUUGUGUAGUUGCAAAAAAAAAACUGUUUGAAUAACUUGUCUUUUGGUUUACAAUAACAACAAUCAUUUGCAGCGACAUCAUUCGUUUGUUUGCUCCUGGCUUUUUCAGUUUCGAUUCUGGCUCUCGCGUUUGCGCUGCCUGUUUCUUUGCUUGCGAUUCUGGCACAAACUUCACAUAUGGGUGGGUGUCUGUGGGGUGCAUUCCUAUUGGCUGAUGCGUUUUGACUGACAGCUUUACUAUGGAUUCAAGCGCAAGAGCUACCCACCCCCCUCCCCUCCCCAGUAGGUAGUGGUGCAACGCUCUUUUUGGCCACUAUGUACAGGUAUAUUCGAUGUGGCGCUAUUGAGCACAGUAUGUCAACCGCCAUAUGAAGAAGAAGAAGAUAUUGACCACAGUAAGUUCCGUGGAGCUAGCUACACCAAAGCCAUCGAUGGGCUACACGCGUUAUGGACUCAAAACAAUGGGUUUUCCUCACUACUCAUUAAUCCAAGAACAACUCAUCGUGAUGGAGCACCUGUACUCCCUGAUACAGCAGGAUCUGAGGGGAUUCCUCAGACAGGACGCAGAUGUGGAUUGACAACAUCCUGCAGUUUGACUUUAUUAGAAUAAGUGUUGUUUUGAAUAAAGGACAAUGAAAUUGAAUUAUUUUACAUACUACUUACUGUAUGUUAACCUGACUCACCACUUGAAUUUCGUUCCACCUAGCUCCUCACAUUCAUCUGGAACUACUCCAUUGGAAAUGUAUUUCAGAAGGCAGGGCCUUGUCAAAACUCCUUUCAUAUGAUUGGAUAAACUAAUUUGACAUGCUACUACAACAGGGGUGGGCAAACUAAGGCCCAGGGGCCACAUGCGGCCCUCUGCUCUGUUUCAUGUGGCCCGCCAUGAAGUCAAACACAUAAAAUUAAAUGUGGCCUGUUGUUACAUAAACCUGAUAUACAUCCAUCACACAGCAUGGUUUCAUAACUGAUGUGCUAUGUUUGUCAAUGAAAACAAGAGAACAGGCCGCACUAUGCAUAAGCAAUCACCAUUUAUUCACACAGACGCGCUUCGGCGCUCUGCCUUCCCAGUAUGUUUGUCAAUACCAUCAUCAAGCUGUACUUUUGGGAACUCUGACUGAAUAAAUACAUUUUUUUGGAAGAUAA